This 1536-nucleotide ribosomal RNA is filed under the name Neisseria gonorrhoeae. RNAcentral's name for it is "bacterial SSU rRNA". It matches the Rfam family "Bacterial small subunit ribosomal RNA". Lineage: Bacteria; Pseudomonadati; Pseudomonadota; Betaproteobacteria; Neisseriales; Neisseriaceae. The record is from RNAcentral.
UAAGAGUUUGAUCCUGGCUCAGAUUGAACGCUGGCGGCAUGCUUUACACAUGCAAGUCGGACGGCAGCACAGGGAAGCUUGCUUCUCGGGUGGCGAGUGGCGAACGGGUGAGUAACAUAUCGGAACGUACCGGGUAGCGGGGGAUAACUGAUCGAAAGAUCAGCUAAUACCGCAUACGUCUUGAGAGGGAAAGCAGGGGACCUUCGGGCCUUGCGCUAUCCGAGCGGCCGAUAUCUGAUUAGCUGGUUGGCGGGGUAAAGGCCCACCAAGGCGACGAUCAGUAGCGGGUCUGAGAGGAUGAUCCGCCACACUGGGACUGAGACACGGCCCAGACUCCUACGGGAGGCAGCAGUGGGGAAUUUUGGACAAUGGGCGCAAGCCUGAUCCAGCCAUGCCGCGUGUCUGAAGAAGGCCUUCGGGUUGUAAAGGACUUUUGUCAGGGAAGAAAAGGCUGUUGCCAAUAUCGGCGGCCGAUGACGGUACCUGAAGAAUAAGCACCGGCUAACUACGUGCCAGCAGCCGCGGUAAUACGUAGGGUGCGAGCGUUAAUCGGAAUUACUGGGCGUAAAGCGGGCGCAGACGGUUACUUAAGCAGGAUGUGAAAUCCCCGGGCUCAACCCGGGAACUGCGUUCUGAACUGGGUGACUCGAGUGUGUCAGAGGGAGGUGGAAUUCCACGUGUAGCAGUGAAAUGCGUAGAGAUGUGGAGGAAUACCGAUGGCGAAGGCAGCCUCCUGGGAUAACACUGACGUUCAUGUCCGAAAGCGUGGGUAGCAAACAGGAUUAGAUACCCUGGUAGUCCACGCCCUAAACGAUGUCAAUUAGCUGUUGGGCAACUUGAUUGCUUGGUAGCGUAGCUAACGCGUGAAAUUGACCGCCUGGGGAGUACGGUCGCAAGAUUAAAACUCAAAGGAAUUGACGGGGACCCGCACAAGCGGUGGAUGAUGUGGAUUAAUUCGAUGCAACGCGAAGAACCUUACCUGGUUUUGACAUGUGCGGAAUCCUCCGGAGACGGAGGAGUGCCUUCGGGAGCCGUAACACAGGUGCUGCAUGGCUGUCGUCAGCUCGUGUCGUGAGAUGUUGGGUUAAGUCCCGCAACGAGCGCAACCCUUGUCAUUAGUUGCCAUCAUUCGGUUGGGCACUCUAAUGAGACUGCCGGUGACAAGCCGGAGGAAGGUGGGGAUGACGUCAAGUCCUCAUGGCCCUUAUGACCAGGGCUUCACACGUCAUACAAUGGUCGGUACAGAGGGUAGCCAAGCCGCGAGGCGGAGCCAAUCUCACAAAACCGAUCGUAGUCCGGAUUGCACUCUGCAACUCGAGUGCAUGAAGUCGGAAUCGCUAGUAAUCGCAGGUCAGCAUACUGCGGUGAAUACGUUCCCGGGUCUUGUACACACCGCCCGUCACACCAUGGGAGUGGGGGAUACCAGAAGUAGGUAGGGUAACCGCAAGGAGCCCGCUUACCACGGUAUGCUUCAUGACUGGGGUGAAGUCGUAACAAGGUAGCCGUAGGGGAACCUGCGGCUGGAUCACCUCCUUU